This 180-nucleotide non-coding RNA is filed under the name Anaerosphaera aminiphila DSM 21120. RNAcentral describes it as "6S / SsrS RNA". It matches the Rfam family "6S / SsrS RNA". From Rfam's summary of the family: E. coli 6S RNA was the first non coding RNA to be sequenced, but its function was unknown until recently. The record is from Rfam by way of RNAcentral. Lineage: Bacteria; Bacillati; Bacillota; Tissierellia; Tissierellales; Peptoniphilaceae.
AAAACUCUGCUAUGUACGAUUAUUCUUCAUUUAAUUCAACCGACAAAAAAGAUCCGGGAAACCUUAUUUUAAGGACUAUAACAAGCCUUCUUGAAGGGAAGUUAGAAAACUUAAAUGGGUUACCCACCUGACAUAGGGGCGGGUCUGAAUUAAUUGAGAUUACGGCAUGGCGGAGUUUUU